GACCCAGAACCGCGAGGAACGGCCCCUUGCGGAUCGGGCAAUACACCUAAAGGAG
This 55-nucleotide non-coding RNA is filed under the name unclassified sequences. Its description in RNAcentral is "L20-Deltaproteobacteria ribosomal protein leader". It matches the Rfam family "L20-Deltaproteobacteria ribosomal protein leader". The record is from RNAcentral.